UAGUCCUAGCCGUAAACGUUGUGCACUUGGUGUUGGGGGAAUUGACCCCCUCAGUGCCGGAGCUAACGCGUUAAGUGCACCGCCUGGGGAGUACGGCCGCAAGGUUAAAACUCAAAGAAAUUGACGGGGGCCCGCACAAGCGGAGGAGCAUGUGGCUUAAUUCGAUGCAACGCGAAGAACCUUACCAGGGCUUGACAUAUAGCUGCAGUCCUGCCGAAAGGUAGGAUGCCUUCGAGGGUGCUAUACAGGUGCUGCAUGGCUGUCGUCAGUUCGUGCCGUGAGGUGUUGGGUUAAGUCCCGCAACGAACGCAACCCCUGUGUUUAGUUGCCACUCUCGCUUCGGCGAGAAGCACUCUAGACAGACUGCCCGUACAAGCGGGAGGAAGGUGGGGACGACGUCAAGUCAGUAUGGCCCUUACGCCCUGGGCUGCACACGUGCUACAAUGGUCGGUACAGUGGGAAGCAAUACCGCGAGGUGGAGCUAAUCCCCAAAGCUGGCCUAAGUUCGGA
RNAcentral lists this ribosomal RNA (510 nucleotides) under uncultured bacterium. Its description in RNAcentral is "bacterial SSU rRNA". It matches the Rfam family "Bacterial small subunit ribosomal RNA", at positions 791 to 1297 of the family's 1533-position model. The record is from RNAcentral.